This 1067-nucleotide long non-coding RNA is filed under the name Nilaparvata lugens (brown planthopper). Its description in RNAcentral is "uncharacterized LOC120350590". The record is from RNAcentral. Lineage: Eukaryota; Metazoa; Arthropoda; Insecta; Hemiptera; Delphacidae.
CCCAAAAAUGUUCAAAAAAGCAGUCUUUUAUCACUUAUUCGGCUACAGAAGUAGAUUUCCAGCACUUCUUCUCAAUGCAAAAAUCCCGUCAGACGGGCCGUUGACGGGCUACUAACGUUUAAAAUUUUAAAUAAUUGGUAAUUGAUGAUGGAAAAUUUUGAAAAAAAUAAUUAACGAUUCUGUUCAUGUUAUAAACAUUGUCCUAGAAUUUCAAAUGUUUCCAACCAAAAUUGAGAAAGUUAUAUCAUUUUUUCAAAUUAGAUUCCAGUUUGUGCUAAAAAUCAUGUCACACACCAAGCCUAUGAAAUAAUUUUCAAGUUUCAAAUUCAAAUAAUAAUAAACUAGGUACUAUUUUAUUGAUUCCAACAUUAUUUCAGUGAAAGCACAAAUGUCCACCAUAAAGAAAUCAUUAAUCCAUCCCAGAAAUAUGGACUGUUAUCUGUUUUAAUGUUAACAAUAAAGAUUGUCUAUAUCAAUAACUUUGAAACUCCCGGGGUGAUUUGUGCUUGUGCACUACUGCGCUUGAGCGACAGCCAUUAAAGAUGUCCUCGGCCUGUCUUCUUUAGUUUUCAGUAGUUGAAGGUGAAGUAUUGCAGUAUUGGUUCGUUGUUUGUUUAUCCUUUAUUUUAUCGCGUCAUCAAGUUGAUGAUGAUUUUUGAUUGCUGAAGGUCUUAAAUUAAGACGAAGGUGGGAAUAGAACUGCAGAUACAUAUUAUACUAAAAUCCACCAUGACAGAUGAAUAUGAUGCCAAGGAUUAGAUUUGAAAAAAGUUCUUCUCCUCUCUACAUUUGAUGAAAGCCAUUUUCAGCAAAGGUGGGAAUAGAACUGCAGACGCAUAUACCAAAAUCCACCAUGACAGACGAAUAUGCUGCCAACUACAGUUUUAGAUUUAAAACUCCUUUCUACAUCUGAUGGAAACCAUUUUCAGACCAAGAGCAGAGAGACUACGCCUCAUGAAGCUCAAAUCGAGGACGAUAGCAGUUCAAAGUAAAAAUAUAUAAUUAGUAAUAAAUUGAAAGUUCAAUUUUUGUAAUAUUUAAUAAAAAUCAUUGAAUUUUAUUGAAAA